RNAcentral lists this ribosomal RNA (781 nucleotides) under uncultured Lactobacillus sp. RNAcentral's name for it is "bacterial SSU rRNA". It matches the Rfam family "Bacterial small subunit ribosomal RNA", at positions 28 to 776 of the family's 1533-position model. Lineage: Bacteria; Bacillati; Bacillota; Bacilli; Lactobacillales; Lactobacillaceae. The record is from RNAcentral.
GACGAACGCUGGCGGCGUGCCUAAUACAUGCAAGUCGAGCGAGCGGAACUAACAGAUUUACUUCGGUAAUGACGUUAGGAAAGCGAGCGGCGGAUGGGUGAGUAACACGUGGGGAACCUGCCCCAUAGUCUGGGAUACCACUUGGAAACAGGUGCUAAUACCGGAUAAGAAAGCAGAUCGCAUGAUCAGCUUUUAAAAGGCGGCGUAAGCUGUCGCUAUGGGAUGGCCCCGCGGUGCAUUAGCUAGUUGGUAAGGUAAAGGCUUACCAAGGCGAUGAUGCAUAGCCGAGUUGAGAGACUGAUCGGCCACAUUGGGACUGAGACACGGCCCAAACUCCUACGGGAGGCAGCAGUAGGGAAUCUUCCACAAUGGACGCAAGUCUGAUGGAGCAACGCCGCGUGAGUGAAGAAGGUUUUCGGAUCGUAAAGCUCUGUUGUUGGUGAAGAAGGAUAGAGGUAGUAACUGGCCUUUAUUUGACGGUAAUCAACCAGAAAGUCACGGCUAACUACGUGCCAGCAGCCGCGGUAAUACGUAGGUGGCAAGCGUUGUCCGAAUUUAUUGGGCGUAAAGCGAGCGCAGGCGGAAGAAUAAGUCUGAUGUGAAAGCCCUCGGCUUAACCGAGGAACUGCAUCGGAAACUGUUUUUCUUGGGUGCAGAAGAGGAGAGUGGAACUCCAUGUGUAGCGGUGGAAUGCGUAGAUAUAUGGAAGAACACCAGUGGCGAAGGCGGCUCUCUGGUCUGCAACUGACGCUGAGGCUCGAAAGCAUGGGUAGCGAACAGG